Oryctolagus cuniculus (rabbit) is the source of this 6191-nucleotide non-coding RNA. The record is from RefSeq and is a predicted model, not a curated record. NCBI's taxonomy places the organism in Eukaryota, Metazoa, Chordata, Mammalia, Lagomorpha, Leporidae.
ACAGAAAAAUUUGUUUUCUUUCCUCCAAAAGCUGAAAAUACUCCAUAGGUAAACCAGAAAGCCAACGAUGUCCAUGCAGUGAAAACAUUUGGAGAUUUAAGCUGAGUCUCCAUGUUUUAAAAACAAAUUAAACAACCCAGGUAUUUUAAAAUUACAAACAGGCCACAUGAAUUCAUUUGUGUUCAGAAAAUAGAUGGCUGACAUUUACAGGGCCGUUAGAAAUCAUUCCCCCAGUGCGCCAGAGUCUCAUAAAUUCUUGUGGUAUCAGAAAGUUCUUCGUUGGUUCGGAGGCCUUCUCUGUUUUGGGUUCUUCUCUUUGCUAUCAUGUUAUAAGAUCACACUGAGGUGAUGUUGGCUCUUUAUACUCUGUAAAUAGAACUUACCAAAGGAAUAUUCCAGUUGCUUUCCCUUCCUGGUAAUGGCAAGGUGACAAUUGUUCCUGACAGUGACAAGAAUGAUGACGGCAGUGAUGGCACCACUGUUGACCAAAUUUGGUCACUGACCUUUAGUUAGGUGGUAUCUUUAUCUAGACCCCUGUCUUGAGUGAUUCCUAGGUUGAUAAGACAAGAUUCAGGACGAUUUGUUCUAAGUCUUAAAAAGAAAGGCAGGAUUUUUUUUUUCUGGUUCUGUAUAUGCUUACCCACUUAGGUCCUGUAUGGUUGCUAAGAAACUAGUGAAAUGCAAAGAACUGCAGCAGAAAAAAGGUGAUGAGGGAGGGCAAGAAUAUUUCUACGUUAUUAACUUUUUUCUUGCUUAGUAUUUUUAUUGCAUUUUUUUGUGGGUAGUAGAACUCUGGGUAGUUUUCCUAAAAAUGGUCAAGACUAGGACACAGAUGUUCUUAAUCCUAACAGCAUGAGACAUCUUUUGAUCUUAAAUUACAGUAUUUUAUUCUUAAUCCAUGAUGGGAAGUGAAAUUCACUCAAGUGCAGUACUUUCAAGUUUUGCAAAUGGCACUGUUUCAAGGUUACAUUUUUGUGCAUUUGGGUGUAUGCAGGUCCCAGGAUUCUACCUAAGUUUUUAUGGCAACAUACCAAAGAAGACUAUUUUGAGAACUAAACAAACCAAGCAGUGGGCAUUUAAUUCAGGCAAAAGAUGAAUUUUAUACUCAUCUUUGAAGCAGAUAGAAGCAGCAAGAGAUGAACUUUGCAGUAAUUCUGUGCAUCCAUUUUAUCAUGAGGUUUUGAUGCUGUGUAGCCACAUAGUAUGUAGUUAAUAAUUCAGUCCUCAGUCUUCUCUGUGGUUUUCAUUGAGUAAAACAUUGUCCUAGCAGGCCAUUCAGCAUACUCAAUCACUCCAUACCUCUUAAGUGUCUUUCUGUGAUUAAUUAAAAAAAAUUUUCCCCCUAGCAAAUGUCUGUUGUUAAGAUAAAUGAAUAGAGCUGUUUGAUUAACUGUAGUUUCAAUAUAGUGCAGGGGAGAGGCAGAGUGAAUGAUACAUUUGGAGAUAGUAUAAGAUUUAAGUUAACCUGGCCACAUAAUUCUGAAAUAGUCUUUGUUUUGGCAGUUAAAAUCCAAAGUGAUCGGUGACCUUCAAAGUUAGUAUAUACAACCCAAAGGUAGAACUGCUAUAUGCAGACCAGAGGCAAAACAGUUUUUACUGAAUUAUUUGGUGUGAUAACUUGAAGCAGUGUUGGAAAUGAUACCCGUGAUGUUACAAUAGCAAGCUGUUGGCUCUUUGGGUUGAAUAGGGUGUCUAUUUCAGUGGCUAAUUUGACUGGGACUUUUUAUUAGCAUGUAGAAUUAAUGUUGUGUGUAAGUGAUGAGUUUGCAGUUUCUUGAUAUUUUCAAAUGGGUUUUAAAAUAAAUUCUUUGAGUUUGUUGUACGGUAGGACCUUGCCACAUAGCUUUAGAGCUGUAUCUUGGAGUGGGACUUUUAGUUCCUUUUUGGUAACUUCCAAGAAGUGAACUAUGUUAAAAUGUUUGUGUUGUGGGUGACUAAAUAGCAAAAGAAUGGUUUUAGAAAGUACUUUUGCUAUAGAAUUCACUUAAUUUGGUUUGUUUGAUCAAGAAAUAGUGGAUAUAGAACCUGUUUUGUUGAUUGACUUCCUGUGGUGUUGGCACUGCUGCUACAUUGCACUUGACCUUUUCAUUCUUCAUUUCUUUAUCUUUCAAAAAAGAGUACAGAGUCUUUUGUCGUAGUUUAUUCGUAUUGUCUUAACAGGAAAGACAUGAUUGAAUGAAGGAGUUCUUCUGGAGAAUGGAAUAGGCAAUUCUAACAGUCUAUACGUAAUACAUCAUCAGAUAAUGCUCUUAAAAAGGGUGUUAGUGAUAUAGUUCAAGUAUCAAACUAAGUAGUAAACUGUUAACAAUAGUUAAUAUUUUGCUGUGACAGAAUGUAAGAAAUUGCAUUAAUACUUGACACUAGAGAUCCAUAGGGAUAAAGCUUAAUUGAUUUGCAAUGUUUAUCAAAAAAAAAAAGGUCACUUGAAUUGGAAGAGGGAAGCAUAUGGACAUGAUAAAUCCCUUAAUUUGACAUUCAAGACCCUCUGUUAUUUCACUCUUAUCUUUCAUCCUCUCCUUGGUUACCCUCUUCACCCUACAUUUAACACAUUCUGUGGUUUAAUUGAAAUGCCUGCCUUGCUCAUUCCUUUUUUUUUUUUUUAAGAUUUAUUUAUUUGAAGGGCAGAGAGAGAGGUCUUCCAUCUGCUGGUUCAGUUUCCAGCGGGCCACAAUGGCCAGAGUUGUGCCAGUCCAAAGCCAGGAGUUUCUUCCGGGUCUCCCACGCGGAUGCAGGGACCCAAGCGCUUGGGCCAUUUUCCUCUGCUAUCCCAGGCCAUAAGCAGAGAGCUGGAUUGGAAGUGGAGCAGCCGGGACUUGAACCGGUGCCCACAUGAGAUGCCAGCACCACCCGCUGUGCACAGUGCUGGCCCCUCCUUCCUCUUUCACUGCUUCCUUUAUUUAUUGAGCACCAAUGACAAUAGUGAUAGAGUGUUGAAUAAAAUGGACAGAAAUCCCUUACUUGGAGGAUAGUGCUGUUGAGAAAAAUAAAGCCGGGGGGCCUAAAUAAGGUUCUAUGGGGAGAGGAGUGUGCUUUUCAAAUAGGCUGGACAGGAAAGCCUAAGACAGUGACAUUUAAGAAAAGACCUAAAGGAGGUGAGGCCUGGGGCGUGUUGAUCUCAGUUGCAUCUGUCUAAAUCAUAAAACCUUCUCUCAACAAUUGCAUAACUUUUUAUACCCUCCACUGCUAUUUCCACCUCAACUACUUAAUUGACUAAAAUGCUACUAAAACUUUCCAGGCUGGUGCUCCUCUCAGCUUUCCAGUUGUAUCUUUCUGGUUUGUGAAUGUGUCCUCUUCUUCCUGUUUGGCCUCUUGGAAAGGGUUCUUAAUUCUUCUUAGGCAGUGUUAGUACUUUUUUUUUUUUUUUUUUUUUUGGACAGGCAGAGUGGACAGUGAGAGAGAGAGACAGAGAAAGGUCUUCCUUUGCCGUUGGUUCACCCUCCAAUGGCCGCCGUUACAGCCGGCGCACCGCGCUGAUCCGAUGGCAGGAGCCAGGAUCCAGGUGCUUUUCCUGGUCUCCCAUGGGGUGCAGGGCCCAAGCACCUGGGCCAUCCUCCACUGCACUCCCUGGCCAUAGCAGAGAGCUAGCCUGGAAGAGGGGCAACCGGGACAGAAUCCGUGCCCCAACCAGGACUAGAACCCUGCGUGCCGGCGCCGCAAGGUGGAGGAUUAGCCUAUUGAGCCACGGCGCCGGCCAGUGUUAGUACUUUUGAUACCACAGAUGUUCAUGUGAGUUUGUUUUGGGAGCACUUUAAAAAUAUUUGGAAUCUGUUGACGUUGAUUUUCUCAAAACAAUAUAUUAAACAUUUGAAAUUCAGUAGUGAUUGAAAUUUUUUUUCUCAUUUCUUUUCAAUUAUUUUUAAAAUGGGCCAUAUACCGAUUGGUUUAAAAAAAUUUUUUUUUGAGGAUUUUAUUUAUUUGAGAGGUGGAGUUACAAAGAGAGAGAAAGAGAAAAAGGUCUUCCAUCCACUGGUUUACUCCCCAAAUGGCUGCAACAGCCAGGGCUGAGCCUGGCUGAAGCCAGGAGCUUCCUCCGGUCUCCCACUUGGGUCAGAGGCCCAAGCAAGCCAUCUUCCACUGCUUUCUCAGGCCAUAAGCAGAGAGCUGGUUCAGAGGAGGAGCAGCUGGUAUGUGCGCCAGCGACACAGAUGGAGGCUUAGCCUACUAAGCCACAGCGUGGCCCUGAAGAAUUUUUUUUGUGAACGUUCUAUCCCGAUCAGAAGAAAAUGAGCCAGUGCAGUGGCAUAGUGGGUAAAACUGCCGUCUGCAGUGCUAGCAUCCCAUGUGAGUACCAGUUUGAGUCCUGGGUGCUCCACUUCUGAUCCAGCUCACUGAUAAUGCCUGGGAAACCCGUGGAAAAUGGCCCAAGUCCUUGGGCCCCUGCACCCGUGUGGGAGACCUGGAAGAAGCUCCUGGUUCCCGGCUUCAGUUUGGCCUAGUUCCGGUUGUUGUGGCCAUUUGGGAAGUGAACCAGCAGAUCUCUCUCUCUCUCUCUCUCUCGAUCUCUCGAUCUCUCUCUCGAUCUCUCUGCUUUUAGUGCCUUUUGUGUGUGUGUGGUUUUUUUUAAUGACUUUAUUUGCCAUCCCAGAAAAUAACCACACCACUUAUUGGUGAUCCUUUGUAUCAUUUUUGUAAAAUUUUAAUUUCCAUUUCUUCUUUAUUUUAAACUUUUUUUUAGAAAUACAAAUUUCAUCUUUAGGAAUAUAGUUAUUCCCACCAUCCACGCCCUCCAUCCACACUCCCACCCUUCCUUCUCGCUCUCCCCUUUUCCUCUCCUCCCAGUCUCAUUCAUUUCUUCUUUUUAAAAAAAUUGUUAAUCUAAAUUUAUUCUUUUAUUGAUCAAAUGUUUUAGUGCCAAGGGAAGAUUGUAAGUUUCUGAGGAUACAUGGAGGAGCAAAAUGUGCUUGUGAUCUCUUGUGUUUGCUUCUUAGGGUCUUGAAUGCCCAUUCCUGUGUAUGGAUAUUUGAGUCACAGUAUCGUUACAGUCUGCCAGUUUAGAGUGAAUCAUGUCUUUUUUCCUUGAUCUAGAGUUUAAUUUUAUUUAUUGUGCUUCCUGUCAGAAGUUAACAGUGUUGUGCAGAGAUUAAUUUUGUGAAUAAAAUUGGAUCCUACCCUGUCUUACCAAAUUUAAAUUAUAGUCGAGCGUUUGUUAGGAAGUGCUUUCUAUUUUUUAUUGGAAAGGUAGGGUGAUAGAGAUCUUCCAUUUGUAGAUUGACUCCUCAAAUAUCUGCAACAGCCGGGGGCCCAGAACUCAAUCUAGUCUCCCAUUUGGGCAACAGAGGGAUAAGUGUUUGAGUCAGAGAAGGGAUGUGGGGAUCCCAAGUGACAGCUUAACCUGCUGUGCCACAGUGCCUAAGCCAAGUACUUACUGAAAAAUUUUUGAGAGGUAGACACAGGGCAAGCCCACGGAUACUUUUAUUCCCCAGUACCUAGGGUUGGGCUGGAAGCCAGGAGCUCAUUUCUGGUGGCAGGGACCCAAUUGCUGAGCCUUCACUACUCCCUCCCAGAGUCUGCAUUGGCAGGUAACUGGACUUAGGAGCCAGGGCUUGGAAUUGAACCCAGGCAUUCUCAUGUGGGACGCCAAGGUCUUAACCUCUAGGCUAAACACUUGCUCUGCAAAAGGUGGGUACUGCUACUGUAUGUACAAAGUUCGAGGGAAGGUAGACAGGCUGUUGAUGCCUGCAGUUACACUGUGGUAGCCUUUUCUUCUACUUGCCUUUGCCUUUGAUUAUGCAGUUGGUUACCUUUUUGCUGACUCAAUGUUUUAAGUCUGUAUACUGCCGUUUAGGGCCUUGUACUUUAAAGGUUGUGUGAGAUUUUUUAUUUAUACAUGUCUUUAAUAGGUAUUCAGCAUCAGCUGGUGCCGUGGCUCACUUGGCUAAUCCUCCGCCUGUGGCGCCGGCACCCUGGGUUCUAGUCCUGGUUGGGGCGCCGGAUUCUGUCCCGGUUGCCCCUCUUCCAGUCCAGCUCUCUGCUGUGGCCAGGGAGUGCAGUGGAGGAUGGCCCAAGUGCUUGGGCCCUGCACCCGCACGGGAGACCAGGAGGAAGCACCUGGCUCCUGGCUUCGGAUUGGCCGGCGCGCUGGCCACUUGAGGGGUGAACCAAUGGAAAAAGGAAGACCUUUCUCUCUCUCACUGUCUAACGCUGCCUGUAAAAAAAAAAAAAAGAAAGAAAAAAGUAUUCAGCAUCAACUA